CGUUUAAACCUGCAGGACUAGUCCCUUUNGUAGGGAUGAUGAAGUUGGUAGACAGUGGCGAACGGGUGAGUAACGCGUGGGUAAUCUACCCUGUAAGUGGGGGAUAACCCUCCGAAAGGAGGGCUAAUACCGCAUAAUAUCUUUACUUCUCAAGAAGCAAAGAUUAAAGAUGGCCUCUAUACUAUGCUAUCACUUCAGGAUGANCCCGCGUCCUAUUAGUUAGUUGGUGGGGUAAUGGCCUACCAAGACCACAAUGGGUAGCCGGUCUGAGAGGAUGUACGGCCACACUGGGACUGANAUACGGCCCANACUCCUACGGGAGGCANCANUGGGGAAUAUUGCNCAAUGGGGGAAACCCUGACCACGACNCCCNUGGAUGAUGAAGCCUUUGGGUUGNAAAAUCUGUUUGGGGGAA
Molecule: ribosomal RNA, 415 nt
Filed under: uncultured bacterium
Lineage: Bacteria
Description: partial 16S ribosomal RNA
Rfam family: Bacterial small subunit ribosomal RNA
Source: RNAcentral